GAUGAACGCUGACAGAAUGCUUAACACAUGCAAGUCUUUGGCGAAGCUGUGCUUGCACCGCCUAGCCAAGGCGGGCGGGUGAGUAACGCGUAAGGAACUUGCCCUGCAGUCAGGGAUAACAGACGGAAACGACUGAUAAGACCUGGUAAAGUCAGGCGGACUCAUGUCCAGCCUGAUGAAAAGUGAUGCUGCAGGAGAGCCUUGCGUCCUAUUAGCUUGUUGGUGGGGUAACGGCCCACCAAGGCGAUGAUAGGUAGCCGGCCUGAGAGGGUGGACGGCCACAAGGGGACUGAGAUACGGCCCUUACUCCUACGGGAGGCAGCAGUGGGGAAUAUUGGACAAUGGGGGCAACCCUGAUCCAGCAAUUCUGUGUGCACGAUGAAGGUUUUCGGAGUGUAAAGUGCUUUCAGCAGGGAAGAAAAAAAUGACGGUACCUGCAGAAGAAGCGACGGCUAAAUACGUG
Molecule: ribosomal RNA, 463 nt
Filed under: uncultured bacterium
Lineage: Bacteria
Description: partial 16S ribosomal RNA
Rfam family: Bacterial small subunit ribosomal RNA
Source: RNAcentral